AGCGAACGCUGGCGGCAGGCCUAACACAUGCAAGUCGAACGAACUCUUCGGAGUUAGUGGCGGACGGGUGAGUAACACGUGGGAACGUGCCUUUUGGUUCGGAAUAACUCAGGGAAACUUGUGCUAAUACCUAAUGUGCCCUUCGGGGGAAAGAUUUAUCGCCAUUAGAGCGGCCCGCGUCUGAUUAGCUAGUUGGUGAGGUAACGGCUCACCAAGGCGACGAUCAGUAGCUGGUCUGAGAGGAUGACCAGCCACACUGGGACUGAGACACGGCCCAGACUCCUACGGGAGGCAGCAGUGGGGAAUCUUGCGCAAUGGGCGAAAGCCUGACGCAGCCAUGCCGCGUGAAUGAUGAAGGUCUUAGGAUUGUAAAAUUCUUUCACCGGGGACGAUAAUGACGGUACCCGGAGAAGAAGCCCCGGCUAACUUCGUG
RNAcentral lists this ribosomal RNA (433 nucleotides) under uncultured bacterium. RNAcentral describes it as "partial 16S ribosomal RNA". It matches the Rfam family "Bacterial small subunit ribosomal RNA", at positions 29 to 507 of the family's 1533-position model. The record is from RNAcentral.